This 295-nucleotide ribosomal RNA is filed under the name uncultured bacterium. Its description in RNAcentral is "partial 16S ribosomal RNA". It matches the Rfam family "Bacterial small subunit ribosomal RNA", at positions 333 to 644 of the family's 1533-position model. The record is from RNAcentral.
CUUAUGCUACGGGAGGCAGCAGUGGGGAAUAUUGCACAAUGGGGGAAACCCUGAUGCAGCAACGCCGCGUGAAGGAAGACGGUUUUCGGAUUGUAAGCUUCUGUUCUUAGUGAAGAAGAAUGACGGUAGCUAAGGAGCAAGCCACGGCUAACUACGUGCCAGCAGCCGCGGUAAUACGUAGGUGGCAAGCGUUGUCCGGAAUUACUGGGUGUAAAGGGAGCGCAGGCGGGAAGCCAAGUCAGCUGUGAAAACUACGGGCUUAACUUGUAGACUGCAGUUGAAAAUGGGUUUCUUG